GAGAUAAUGCACAGCAUCUUGCCACACUGCCGUCAUGCCAUAUGAUUGAAAGACCGUGUAAUGUGAAAUACUUCUCCCAUGUACCAGUGGGGUCAUUUAUUUACAAUUCAGUAAAAGUCUCAGCCAAAACCAGCGGAACAUAUAUAUAACUGUAGAGAGCCAUAUGGGGCUAAUUUGCCUUCUGAACAAAUCUGGAAAAGAGAAAGGUGCCACAAAUUGAAUUAAGCUCACAUUAUGCAGAAAGGAAGCAACAGCUGGGAAACAUUUAAAAAAAAGAGAUCCCUUCAAAACAGCCUUGGAAGGCCAGCAGUCAAGUCCAUUUUUCUUUCAGGGCUUAUUCUGUGGUGCUGUUGCCGCUGAGAUCCAACGCCACCGGCCAGGUCUUCCUCUGCCUGGCUCCCCGAUUAUUACGGGACUGGGAGUUCCACUCGGUGGCCCGUUCAUGGUCAGGCGCGACUGCGGGGCUGCAGCUAUACUGCUCCCGACACCCAUUUUGCAGAGAGUGCAAUGCAUGUUCUCCGCACUACCCAUCAUUGUGAAUUUGGGCGAUUCCAAGUCACUUCCAUUACUAGCCCCCACGCCAUGCUAGGAAAACAUGGAAGAAUGAAUGGAGCCUCACAUGCAACAAUUUCGAUCAGGGCUCCAACCAGGUGGGAGUUGUGCCAGGGGCUUCUCCAUCUCCCAUUCCUUGCUGGCUUCAAAGAUGGGGUCCUUGCUUUCUCCCAAAUGGAAUCUGGAGACUAUUGGUAGGUAGUUGUGCCAAUGUUUCCCACCAUUAGUCUUAAACUCUUUGAGGACAGGAAUUAACAAUCUUCAUGGCUUCUGGGGGACCUAGAACAAUGCUUGGUGUACAAUAGGAGUUCAGAAAAUGUUAGCAGGAAGUGACCAAUUGCUGAAGAUACAGCCACCAGUGGCCCCCCAAUACUUCUGUUCAUUCAGUUCUUCAACAAAUAUGCAUUGACUGACCCUAUGUGAUGUACACUGUGGUGAGCCCUGGAAAUAUAAUAGUUAACAAGACCAGGCCUAGCCCCUGUGUGGAUAGGAUUAUAGUCUAGUGAAUGAAGUCACAGGCCUGUAUCCAUACAUACGGAAGCCCCAUCACCUUUUUAAUUUUUCUCUGUACAGAAUUUCCCCAGGGGCCGGCUCCUUGGCCGAGUGGUUAAGUUCGCACGCUCCGCUGCAGCAGCCCAGGGUUCAGAUCCUGGACGCGGACAUGGCACCACUUGUCAGGCCACGUUGAGGCUGUGUCCCACAUCCCACAACUAGAAGGACCUGCAACUAAGAUAUACAACUGUGUAUGGGGGGGCGGUUGGGGAGAUAAAGCAGGAAAAAAAAUGAUUGGGAACAGUUGUUAGCCCGGGUGCCAAUCCUUAAAGACUUUUGGGGAAAUUCUUUUUUUUUUUUAUUUUAUAUUCAAGACUGAAUUCUUCAUCCUAGAUAAUGCCACCUGUUCUGACUUUCACCCCUUUUAAGGAAAAGCAACCACCAGACACACUGGCCAAGACGACAAGGCCUCUAGUGUACUUCUCCUCCUGCUGCCUCUUCCACGUUCUGCAAAGCUCCAAUCACGGUUCAAUGCGAGAGCCCCAGAAGCUGUGGAUCUGAAAAUUUCAACAUGUUCCCUUGUCUUUGUGAGAUGCAGCAUCCUAUCACCAUUAGCACCGUGCAUCAGAUUCUGCGCUCGGUGUUCAGAAGAGAGAUGUCUGCUGUAUCCAUUCUGGUAUUUCACAACUGAUGUUGCCUUGGGGAAUAUGUGAGGCAAUCCAGACAUAUGCAGAGAUUGCCUUCAAGUGCCCAGGGGUGAGGGGAGUGAAAAAUCAAACAUGUGCAUGGCAAACCAAAUGUUGAGGUCAUUUGGUUUCAAAAUGGGAAGGAGAAACACAUGCAUGCACAGAUUUGCCUCCAAAGAUUCACAAUUUUUGAAACUUGGGCCUAUAAUUGAGAUUAUACUGUUGGCGUAGGGGAUGUCCAAAUAUCUCCAUGGGAGAAGGUGGAUGUAGGGGUGGGAAGGAUAAAAGCAAAAUGAUUUUUUGGACCAGGUUUAUAUAAUUCUGAUUUGUGAGUUUGUGGAAGUUAGUGUGACACCAUUAGAACAUUUUAUAUGGAUUUUGUGACUUUUUAAAUCUUUAAAAAUAAUUAUUUAAAACAGUAUGAUAUCUGUUAUAUGAUAAUCUUUAAAAAUUAUCUCAGGGUUGGGGCCGGCCCGGUGGUGCAGUGGUUAAGUUCGCACGUUCCGCUUCUUGGCGGCCCGGGGUUCGCUGGUUCGGAUCCCAGGUGCGGACAUGGCACUGCUUGGCAGCCAUGCUGUGGUAGGUGUCCCAUGUAUAAACUAGAGGAAGAUGGGCACGGAUGUUAGCUCAGAGCCAGGCUUCCUCAGCAAAAAGAGGAGGACUGGCAGUAGUUAGCUCAGGGCUAAUCUUCCUCAAAAAAAAAAAAAAAUAGGAAAAAAAAAAUUAUCUCAGGGGGCAGAAGGAAUGAGUAGAAAUAUAGAUAAAAUAAGAUUGUCCAUGGAUGGAUCACUGUGAAAGCUGAGUGGUAGGUCAUGGAUGUUCAUUAGAAUAUUCUCUCUACUUUUGGAUAUGCUUGAAAACGAAAAUAUCUAUAAUAAGAGGCCUUUCAAAAUUGCAUGAAGAUUUAGUAGCUUAAGAAAAUCAUUUGCUGGUAAUCAAAUGGAAGCAUUAUCUAUCCUACAGUGGAAAUCACAGUCCAGCUGCCACCCAGGCUGCAGAUGCCUGUCCCUUGAGGGGAAGCUCUGAGCCACAUCCCUUUCUAGACCAGUCCCCAUUUUACAGAAUUGGCUUUGGCCCAGAGGAAUCAGAGCUAUACUCUGGGUGAAAUGAAAUCCCAUCUCUCUGUUUGCCUUCCUUCCAUAAUGGGCCCAAUAUUUGUGGAAGAAGCCGAGUUGCCCACCCUUCACUGCCAUUUCUGAGCAAGAUUGUUCCCCUGGAAGUCCCUAGCCGGCUAAUCUUUUAUUUGGGGAUUUGUCGCAGUCAUUUCCUGACCAUCCCAUGGCCAUAGGCCAAAACACUAGGAUUAGGUGCCUAGUGAAAAGAAUGUUUCAAGCCCUAGCAAGCAAAAAUUCCUUACUGGAAUUUGCUUCAGGCCUCCUUCCACACUACCAGGCCCUACAAACUUUUACCAGCUUCUCUCCACUCCCUUUGGCCUUGGACAAAAGGGACAUGGGUGGAGUGGGACUCUGGAUCUCAUGGGAAAAGGUUCCAAAGAUUUUCCUUUUUGUUUGUUCUGUCCCAUUGGUCAACUUAGUAAAUUCUAAUUCUGAAUGAAUUAGAAAUUUUGGUUUUCUGCCAACAAACACAGCACCUACCAUGGUGGAAGGGUAUCUCUGUUGGGGGUCGCUCAGCAAUUUUUCCUCUUUCUGGUAACAAAAUCUGCUUUCCUUUGGAGAACCCAUUUGAUAUGGUUGGGUAUGGCUGACUCCACUUCCACUACAGAUGUGGACACACGUGGUAUCCCUGAUGCCAAGUGGUACCUAGAACACAGUAGGUGAGUCGUUAUUAAAUGAUUGGGUGGGUGACAUUUAUGGUUGUUAGUGAAAGAUAUCUUGACUGCAGUGAUUGACUCAUUAGGAUGUAUGUAUCUCAGCAUUUCUCAGCUUUUCUCAUCUUUUUCUCAGAUCUUUUUUAUCUCAGCACACUUUUAUACUUUAUCUACUGUUGGGGACCCCAAAGAACUAUCAUUUAUCGCAGCAAGUCAUCUUUUCUGCUGUACGGAGAAAGCCAGGCUGAGAAUGAAGUCAACAUUGAGGAAAGCAGAGCCAAGAGAUAGAGAAAAAAAACCCCAAACAAAAUGACUCGAACACCCAGAACGUGCCCAAAGUGAGACUUGGCCCAACAUUUUUCAGUUAUGUGAGCCAGCAAUUUCCCUUGUCAUCUAAAAGAUGGUUUAAAUUGGACUUUUGUUGGAGUUGUUGUUUAGUGCAGCAUAACAGGCUGCCUAGUCAUGAAGACUUGCUCUGCUCAUAUCCCAAGACUGAAUGAUCAUUAACAAGGGGUCCAUAUGGCUGUGGAACUUACUGUUCAGCAGUCUUUAGAACCUCUGAUAUGAGCUAACUGCCAUCAGAAAUUUGUGAGACAUAAUAUUUAUGAGACAUAAUGGUCCAGAAAAAAGACUUUCAGUAGUGGUUAGACUAUAUCCCAGAGACAUUUCAAGAAUGGAUAGGCUCAGGGACAUGAUGAUGCUAAGCUAUAUGAGAUUUCACAAGGCCUCACAUUAAGAGUUGCUUUUGGACUUAAGGUGCAAAGAUGGAAGCUUCUGAGCAGAACUGCCUCAAUUUCCUAGAACACGCUUGACAGUGGCUGGAAUCCAUGCAGCAGUCAUGAUCACAUCUAUGACCCAACAAAGGCUGCUUUGCUUUCAUAUUCUAACUGAAAGAACCAUGACAAUGUGCUCUUUUCCAGACAGUAACAGAAUGAGUCUUGCAGCCUCAAAAGUCUCCAAAGUGAGUUGUAUGGAAUAACAUAAAGAAUUAAUAAGAAGUUUUGAAUUUCCUCACUACUCAAAAGACCCACAUGAUUUCUUGCAGUCGGUGAAUCUAAUUAGAAGUGAGAAAAACAGAGAGGAGAAGCCAUGCGGGACUUCUGCAUUCAUCUUACACCAAAAGAAGUCCCCAUUUCCAGGAACAUUUUGGAGUAGAUCUUGAGAAAAACCACUCCUUUUGUGAACCGUAAUGUGAUGGAUAAAAUUUUUGAAGCAUCUCUUUAAAUGCCUGGUUGACCUGGUGAGAAACUAAUGGAAUUAUCUGGAGGUCAAAAAUGGCAAAUCCAGUGAGGCAAGUGGGAAUUUGAGUUGGUAUUUACCCCUGGGUGUGUGCUAGCCCCUACUCACCUGGAGAUUCCAUUUAAAUGGGCCAUGCACAUGUGGACUGGAAACAAAGUCUCGAACAACCCAGGGAAGUUACAUGUUUAAUUGUGUCCCCCUAAAUUCUUAUGUUGCAGUCCUAACCCCUAUGACACCAGAAUGUAACUUUAUUUGGAAAUAGGGUCAUUGCAGAUGUAAUUAGUUAAGUUUUAAGAUGAGCUCAUUAGGGUGAACCCUACUCCAAUAUGACUGGUGUUCUUGUGAAAAAGGAGAAAUUUGGACACAGACAUGCACACAAGGGAGGAUGCCAAAUGAAGAUGAAGGCAGAGAUCAGGGUGAUGCUUCCACAAGCCCAGAAAUGCCAAAGGUUGCCAGGAAACCCCCAGAAGCUAGGGGAGAAGCGUGGAACAGAUUCUCCCUCACAGCCCUCAGAAGGAACCAACCCUGCAAUGCCUUGAUUUGGGACUUGCAGCCUCCAGAAUUGUGGGAGAACACAUUUCUGAUAUUUAAGCCACCCAGUCUGUGGGAUUUGUUAUGGCAGCCCUAGUAAACUAAUACGGGGGGUCGCGCAAUUGGAUUGGAUGCCCCCACCCAAAGUGUGGCCUGCUCAGUAGGCAAAUGAAAGGGAGAAAACACCCACAGAGGAACCAGUCAAGACGCAGGCACCACAAGCCUGACUUGACACUACUCCUGGGAUGGGACAUACUCUGAGAUGAAAGUUUUGUUUGAAAUGACCCCAGGUUGAUAGUGUUCCCAUGCGCCUGGCAGAAGCAAAUGAAAAUUCCUCUCGAUGAACAUACUUUGAACCCAGACCUCAAAGAAAAAUCCCAUGGAUAACUUUCCAAGAAACAUGAACCCCUGGUCAAAAAUCAUUAAACACACAAAGAAACAGGAGUGAGGGUUGAUGGAAACAAAAAAGUGCUGAAAGAGAACUGCAAAGAACACAGAUAUGGACAUUUUAGAUGCAAAAUAUAAAAUAAGUAAUUUAAUAUGAGUUAAGAAAAAGGCACCGAAAAUAGGAGGGAGAAAAUGAGACUAUCAAAUUUGAUCAGGGAUAUUUGGAAAAGAACCCAAAAAAACUUCAACAAAUAUAUAAUUAUUUUAAAAGUGAAAUGGAUGGGGAGGGCCGGCCCGGUUGCCUACUGGUUAAGUUUAGUGCUCUCCGCUUCAGUGGCCCGGGUUUGGUUCCCAAGUGUGGACCUACAACACAUGUUGGUGGCAAUGGUGUGGUGGCAACUCACAUACAAAAUAGAAGGAGAUUGGCACAGAUGGUAGCUCAGGGACAAUUUUCCUCAAACAAAAAAGAGGAAGAUUGGCAACAGAUGUUAGCUCAGCCAAACUUCCUCAGGAAAAAAAAAUGAAAUGGAUGGUUUAAACAGGUAGGAUACAGCAGAUCUGACAAACUGGAGGAGAGAUCUGAGGAAGUUAUGCAGAAUGUAGACAAAAAGACAAAGAUGUGGAAAAUGGGAAGGAAGAGACAUAUGGAGCAAUAUGACAAGAACUAAAAUACGAUUAAUUGGAAUUCUAGAUGGAAGUGUUAGAAAGAAAGUAACAGGGCAAUAGUUGAAGAGCAAAUGGCUGAAAAAUUUUCUUAACUUGUUGAAAGACACUGUUUCUCAGAUUUAGGAAGCCAAGUGAAAUGCAGUUAAAUAGAGAAGAAACCCACCCAUACACUCACCAUAGUAAAACUGGAAUGCCAGGAGUUCCAAAGAUACAAGUAUGGGAAAGACUAGACAAAACUACCCCUAUUUGCAGGAUAUAGAAUAAUCUAUUUAAAAAACCCAAAAGAUCAUAACAAAUAAGACUUUUUUUUUUAACAAGGAAUGUAUUUUAUUUGUUUAUUUAUUUAUUUUUUGAGGAAGAAUAUCCCUGAGCUAACAUCUGCUGCCAAUCCUCCUCUUUUUGCUGAGGAAGACUGGCCCUGAGCUCACAUCUGUGCCCAUCUUCCUAUAUUUUAUAUGUGGGACCCGUGUCACAGCAUGGUUUGAUGAGCGGCAUGUAGGUCCACACCUAGGAUCCAAACCGGCGAACCCCAGGCCACCAAAGCAGAGGGCAUGAACUGAAUCGCUGCACCAUUGGGCUGGCCCCUGUUUGAUGAACAUGAGAUGCUCAGACUCACUAAGAAUAAAAGAAAUGCUAAUUUUUUUAAUUGAGAUAAUCUCAACCAAAAGAAUGCCAAUGAUUAAAAGUCAUAAUAACAGAAGUUGAUAAAGAUAAUGGAAAAGGCAGGUGUUGCUGGUAAGUAUAUACAUUCUGGAAGAGCAGUUUGGCUCUUUUAAUAGUUUAAUGUGCAUUCCUACUACCUGGCAUUUCCAUGUCCUAGUAUCUAUCCUCUAGAACCUUGCACGCAUGCACUAAGAGGUAUGUACAGGGAUUUUUAAUUUGGCAUUGUUUACAGUAGGAACAAAAAGCCAGAGGGGCCAACCGGUGGUGUAGUGGUUAAGUUCGUGCACACCACUUUGGCAGCCUGAGGUUUGCAAGUUCAGAUCCUGGGUGCAGACAUACACACCACUGAUCAAGCCAUGCUGUGGAGGCAUCUCACCUACAAAAUGAAGGAAGACUGGCACAGAUGUUAGCUCAGGGCCAAACUUCCUCACACACAAAAAAACCGGAAAGAAACCAAAUGUCCAUUAAUAGGAAAACAAUUGUGUAAACUAUGAUAUAUCCAUUCUAUAGAAUACUUAAAAAAAAAAUACUGAGGCGGAUCUGUAUACUCUGACAUGGAAAGCACUCUAAAUUAUAUUAAGUUGGGGCAGACAGGGAGAAAGCAAUUUGGACACUUUGCAUUGUUUACGUAAAGAUACACAUAAUACAAUUACCUAUUUUCAAAAGAGGAAAGCAAAUACAUAGAAAAAUUCUCAACGGAUACACACCGUCUGCAUCUGGGGACUGUACUUGGAAAGUAUGGAGGGCAAAGUUGGAGAUGUGAGUCAAAUGAUUUAUCUGUAAUUUUUUCAUUUGUCUAAGGAGAACAUAUACAUGAGUUAAUGUGAAAUUUAUCUUUUUAUUUGUUUCAAGCAACUGCAAAGUAUGAAAACCCAUUCUUUACAAAAAGCUGAAUUACAGAUUUAUUCUUCUCUGCAACAAAACACUUUGCAGUGGAACCUAUUUCAGUCGUGAGCUUCUUUUCCAAAUUGUUCACUUUACCUAGAUUUUAUUCACACAUCUUUUCUCAUCACUCUGUGCUGCGUAAAGCAAAGCACAGCUGCUCUGUGGAAAUGGUGAGAGUGACAGUGAAUCCAGAAUUAUUGUAGUGGUGUUCUCCUUAUUUACAGGUGUGGUAUUAUUCUAUCUCUCUUUUUUCCCCUUCAACUCGCCGUUUGUUAGAGCCAAGCUUCAGAACCAGAAUUCUGCCGUUCAGUGACUUUGGGACCUCACAUAAGUUACCCAAUGUCCCUAAGUUUCAGGUUCCCCAUUUCUAAAACUCAGGAUAACACCUACUUCAAAGGCUGGCUGUAUGAAAUAAGACAUUCAAAGUGAAACGAAUUAACAUAGUGCCUGAUCGACAGCGUUAGCUUUCCCUACUGAGUGGAAGGCUUCAAAAGUCAAGGGUGCCACCUAACAAUUGUGUGAACUUGAGCAAAGUAAUUCAGCCUCUCUGAGUCUCAGUUUUCUCCUCUGUGAAAUGGGUAGAACAACAUUUUCCUUGUAUGGAUUUCUCUGAAUCGUAAACAUAGUGAACAGCAAGCCCAAUACAGGGACCAUGAUGGUUGUCAUGUCAGUGUUUGUUCCUCUCCCUCUCCCCCUCUUCCCUUCCCGUGGUCUUCUGCAUUUCCCAGUUGACUCGGCAGAUGGAGCAGUUGAAUCGCAUGGUGAGCCUCAGCACAGCUGGCCUGAGUCACAUCCCCACAAAGCAGCUGCCCUGUGCUGCUUUCACUGGGGACAAACCUACACUCCUUCUCGAAUGUUUGGCAGUCGAGGGCAGCGGUCCUGGAAGGAGGUGGCAACAGCAGUGUUGCAAUACAGUCUGAGAUUUCACUAAACACUGAGCCACCUGGAGGCCCCCAUAAAUGCAAAGUCUGUCAUUUUUCAUGCCUAAGGCAGUCAAGCCAAGUAUCUAUUGCUUUUCGGCAGGCUCUUUGGCACACUUCAGAGGCACUACUUUAGGGCCAACUUCUCAUCAAAUUAAUAUUCUGUCUGUAGGGAAGACUUUGUUAACUAACUGAGUUUAAUGAAGAUUUUUUUCACUUUUGGAAAAAAGAAUAUGUUGGUUCUCCUUUUUUGGUCUGCUUGGAUGAAGGGAAGUUGAUGUUCUAGGUUGAAUGCAAGACUGGAAUAGGAUAUUCAGAGGCAGCUUCUUAUAUGGGACCACCUUUCCUAUGCCAGUCCUCAGAGGUUUAUGAGCUUACAUCCAGCACCUGACUUUCCAAGAUCCGACAAUCUCCUGGUCUGCCCUGCUCCGAGAAGCCGGGUUAACACUGGACCAACAUAAUGAGUGGAUGACUGAGGUCAGAGCAGCUGUGUUACAGCAGCAGAAUGUCCAGCACGUGAGCAGUCAUCACAGCGAGCCAGGGCAGAGCACAUGGCAGUGAUAUCCCAGAGUAAAAUUAAUUUCCGUGUUAUUCCAGCACAGCAGAAUUGCUGGGAGCCACAAGUUCAAUUUGAUCAGCACGUCUCAACCCUAUCAGACCCAGUGCCCCUCUUUUAUAACAAAUAUUGUGUAACUCUCCCCCAUAGUAUCCUAAAAUGAAAUGUACAGAUGCAACUUAUCUACGCAGAUAUUUUAGUCACUCUAACGUCCUAACAGAUAUAAAGAAUAAAAGCAAAGUCGUUAAUGAUAAAUAAAUAUGUAUUUCAAUAUGUAAAUACUCAGAGACAACUACAGCUAGAAGACAGAAAGCAGUCCAAUGCGUGUGCCUGUUCCUAGAAUCACCCUAAAUAUGGCAGCACAAACAGAAUAAGUGUUGGUGACUCAAAUACCAUGAGCUGCAUUGUAUUGGUGAAUAACUCUCAGUAAAGUUCCUACCAAAUGUUAAGUAUAAUCUUUCCUUAAUUUACAUAGAAUUAUUAUUGCAGACUACAGCCAUAAAAGAUAAAUUGUGUUUUUUAUAAAACAGAGUUUGGCUCUAGAUUCCUUGUUUGUUGGGACAACAACCAGUCCUACACCUACACACACACACACACACACACACACACACACACACACACACACACUUUCCUAAACAACCCCUAGGGGGCAGUAUUGCCACUGUUGAGAACUCCUGUUGUGGGAGGCCAGAGAGUGCCCCAAAGUAUGGGGGGUGGCUUUAACUGCCUUCCAGAACUCGUGGAAAGCAUCAGGUUCUCCAGGUAAUUACCUAACACCUCUCCCAGCUGAAAAUCCAAGACUUUUGCCUACCUAGUACCGAUUUGAUUACAACACAGAGUAGAGCUGUAUCACAGGUGGCUCUGCCCUAGGUUCCUGUGCGAUGAUGCAGCUAUCAUCUCAGACUCAGAUGGAACAACACUGCAGCCCACCACAAUCAGCCUGGGAAGUGCAGGGGAAAAAGGAUACGUGGUUCAUUCCCCUAAGCCACCUUCCAGCCCACGUCACCCUGCCAGGCUACCAUUGAAAGGCCCACAGCAGAUCCCCACAGAGCAAGGCUGGACCAGCUCUGCACCAGCCUCUGGGAUUAUUUGGCAAUGUGGGGUGCCGAGGGGCUCCUGGUUUGGGCUCUAGUUAAUUGAAUGUUCUGGUUACUUGACAGUUAAUUGACAAUCCUAUUUGCUUCAAUCCUUGUAAAACUUUUCUGAAAUUCAUGAAUUCACCCUUCACCAAAACAACAAUGGUUUAAGUUAGUAGGAGAGAUUCUUUUUUCUUUUCUCUCUUUUCCAAUUUCCCAUGAUGAGUUUAUAAUACUUCUAGAUUAAUAGAAACACAUUUAGUAAACACACAGGUCAGUUUCCGGGCUUAAUAGAUAGUACACACUAGAAAACGGAGCUUUCGUUUUAUGUUUAAGAAUAGGGCAACGUUUCAGGCUACUCUUUCUGAACAGUGCUCCCCACAGAAUUGCCUAUGUAGGCAUCAGAUUG
This 10830-nucleotide long non-coding RNA is filed under the name Equus caballus (horse). RNAcentral describes it as "lncRNA (ENSECAG00000055741.1)". Lineage: Eukaryota; Metazoa; Chordata; Mammalia; Perissodactyla; Equidae. The record is from RNAcentral.